CUACGUGCCAGCAGCCGCGGUAAUACGGAAGGUCCGGGCGUUAUCCGGAAUUAUUGGGUUUAAAGGGAGCGCAGGCGGGAGUGUAAGUCAGCUGUUAAAUAUCAGGGCCCAACCCUGUUAUGCAGUUGAAACUAUAUUUCUUGAGUACGCACAGGGAUGGCGGAAUUCAGGGUGUAGCGGUGAAAUGCUUAGAUAUGACGAAGAACUCCGAUUGCGAAGGCAGCUGACGGGAGCGCAACUGACGCUGAAGCUCGAAGGUGCGGGUAUCGAACAGGAUUAGAUACCCUGGUAGUCCGCACAGUAAACGAUGGAUGCCCGCUGUUGGUACGUGGUAUCAGCGGCUAAGCGAAAGCAUUAAGCAUCCCACCUGGGGAGUACGCCGGCAACGGUGAAACUCAAAGGAAUUGACGGGGGCCCGCACAAGCGGAGGAACAUGUGGUUUAAUUCGAUGAUACGCGAGGAACCUUACCCGGGCU
Molecule: ribosomal RNA, 476 nt
Filed under: uncultured bacterium
Lineage: Bacteria
Description: bacterial SSU rRNA
Rfam family: Bacterial small subunit ribosomal RNA
Source: RNAcentral